AGUCGAACGCGAAAGUCCCCUUCGGGGGAUAAGUAGAGUGGCGUCCGGGUGAGUAACACGUAGGUAAUCUACCUUCGGGUGGGGAAUAACGCAGGGAAACUUGCGCUAAUACCGCAUAAUGCAGCGGCACCACAUGGUGACAGUUGUUAAAGCGGGGGAUUUUCGAACCUCGCGCCUGAAGAGGAGCCUGCGGCAGAUUAGCUAGUUGGUAGGGUAAUGGCUUACCAAGGCGACGAUCUGUAGCCGGCCUGAGAGGGCGGUCGGCCACACUGACACUGACAUACGGGUCAGACUCCUACGGGAGGCAGCAGUCGGGAAUUUUGGGCAAUGGGCGAAAGCCUGACCCAGCAACGCCGCGUGAAGGAUGAAAUCCCUCGGGAUGUAAACUUCGCAAGAAUGGGAAGAAUUAGCGAGUACUAAUACUGCUCGUGAUGACGGUACCAUUUGUAAGCUCCGGCUAACUCCGUGCCAGCAGCCGCGGUAAUACGGGGGGAGCAAGCGUUGUUCGGAUUUACUGGGCGUAAAGGGCGCGUAGGCGGUCAGCACAAGUCAGUUGUGAAAUCUCCGGGCUUAACUCGGAAAGGUCAACUGAUACUGUGCGACUAGAGUGCAGAAGGGGCAACUGGAAUUCUCGGUGUAGCGGUGAAAUGCGUAGAUAUCGAGAGGAACACCUGCGGCGAAGGCGGGUUGCUGGGCUGACACUGACGCUGAUGCGCGAAAGCCAGGGGAGCGAACGGGAUUAGAUACCCCGGUAGUCCUGGCCUUAAACGAUGGAUGCUUGGUGUCUGGAGUUUUAUAGUCUCC
Molecule: ribosomal RNA, 804 nt
Filed under: uncultured Bacillota bacterium
Lineage: Bacteria; Bacillati; Bacillota
Description: bacterial SSU rRNA
Rfam family: Bacterial small subunit ribosomal RNA
Source: RNAcentral